This 82-nucleotide transfer RNA is filed under the name hydrothermal vent metagenome. Its description in RNAcentral is "tRNA-Leu-GAG". It matches the Rfam family "tRNA". From Rfam's summary of the family: Transfer RNA (tRNA) molecules are approximately 80 nucleotides in length. Their secondary structure includes four short double-helical elements and three loops (D, anti-codon, and T loops). The record is from RNAcentral.
GCGCACGUGGUGGAACGGUAGACACGCUACCUUGAGGGGGUAGUGCCUUAUGGGCGUGGAGGUUCAAAUCCUCUCGUGCGCA